This is a non-coding RNA of Aegilops tauschii subsp. strangulata, 2563 nucleotides long. The record is from RefSeq and is a predicted model, not a curated record. NCBI's taxonomy places the organism in Eukaryota, Viridiplantae, Streptophyta, Magnoliopsida, Poales, Poaceae.
UGGGACCGCGGCAUAGGCGUGCGACGGAGUUCGGACGUGGCCGUCCUGAUCCGUGGACCAGGACAUUGACGAAAUAACCGAGCCUAGGAUCAGAUAAGAAGCUCAGAUCGUUAGCGAAAAGCUGAGCCGUUUUUCUCUCCCGACAAACAAGGAAGAAGGCGGUGGUGGCGGCGGUUCCUUCUGGGCCACAAGGAAAAAAGGGAGGAUGCUGGGAUGGAGUUACUUCUCGACGCCGUCGACAGGUUCCCACUGCUGUAGGAGUUCGCGGACAGCGUUGAGCAGCCAGAUGUGGCUCCUCUGGCGUUGAUGUGGCCAAGCGAGGCCGCCUGCGGUGGGACUGUGAACUCAAAGGGUGCUUCUGGAUGCAGCCAGCAGGUCAGCGAUGACGAGCUAAUCGGGAGGCAUGGUGGAGCUCGCUGCCGUGCGGAUGCAUCUCCGACUAGGUCGGCGCAGUCCACUGACAGAGUGAAUCCGGAAGUUCCUGGAUGGACAAAAAGAUUAUGGCUAAGGAGUGCGCCACCAGACAGGACACCAUGUCUGUCACGGAUGAGCGCGCUCGAGGAGUCGAUCCGCAAGUUUGGCGAGUACUGAGUUCAGAUUGUGUAUGAGCUUAUGGGUUUUAAAAUAUGACUGACUUACUUUCUGCAAUUCUUGGGAGAUUAGAUUCAGAAUAAGGUACGGUAAGAGCUGGCUAAACGUCGAGAGGACAAAGGUGUCAAAGUGAAUGCAAGAAAUCGUCUGCGGCUGCUCGGUAAACACUGAUUCAUGUAAUUAUUGUUUUGGAAGGUAAGCAGCAGCCAUGGGCGUCGGUGCUUCAAGUGUGUUUAAAUGAAUUAUACAGGGGAAACCAGAGGCGGAGAAUAGUAGGUCAUGCCGAUGUAAGUGUGCUGCAUUGAUAAGGCUGCUGCGUGUGUUCGACAACAAUUGGUACAUAACAGAGAAAGCAGAUGGCCCAUGACAAAAUAUAACAAAGGCUAUCUGGAAACAAUCUUUUUCAAGCUGGCUGGAAUUCUCGUUGAUGUCGCGCAAAAGGAACUCUUUUGCUGCACGCAAGUUGUGAACCCCCGUCUUGUUCAUUUCAACUGUACCCUUUAUGAACUGAAUUGCUUCAGGGUUUAUGUUGGCAUCUCUGCCUUUGAUUUUGUGACGACCGCAAGGGAUCCCAAAGACUUUGCACUCAUCCUCAACCCAGAACUUGAGGACCUUGCUGUCUGUUAGCACUAUCUCUCUUGGACUGACACUUACUCUGCUCAUUAUCCAAGAGAAGGUAAUAACACCGAAGCUGAUAAUGCAUGUAUUACAUGUAAAAUAGGAGUGGAAGAGGUGAUGUCCAGCUACAUGAAGAAUUGUACUAUUCAGUUAGAAUUCGAGGAAUAAAAUAAGAGAUACAGUGAGUUCCUGUUCAAUCCAUUUUUGUUGCCUUGCCUAUCAUGCCUUCAUUGAACCGAAAAAAUGGACUACAACAAGAAUAGACAACCUUCUAUUUAGGCAUUUCUGCAAAAUAGCAGACACACGAUCAUCACAAACACCAUGAAAACCACUUGAUCUUGGACUUCUGAAGAUGCGUUUGGCCUGCGCAGCUCAACUUUGCCAUAGGCCAAGUGGCCUCCGCCGGCGACAAAGCUCAUGCAUAGCCUGGUCUUGAAGUUGCUGCCAAAACACAUUGGCUUCCCGAGCUCCCCCUCACUGCCUAGGUUCAAUUGUUCAUCUUUUUUCGCAAAUAGCCUGAUCGUGUCCAUGGUGGGGAAGUGAUGGAGGAAACGACAGUCAUCGCCGAAGCCGUAGUCGCUGGUGCUGCGCAUUAACAAAAAAAUAGAUCCAGAGAAAAUUAUCCAACUGUUGCAAAGUUAGUGCAGGUAGCAAAGUUUUGUUGUAGAUAGAAAAGGUUGUUUUCACAACAGGCCAACCUUGCAGAAAAAGAUUUGCAUUCCGAAUGGAACAACUUGAUAUGUAUGACUGUAGAAAAUUAACCUGAAAAACCUGGUGCAUAUCUUCUUCGAUUUGUUAAAUGCCGACAAAGUAACUGGUUACAUACUCUCACUACUUUCAAAUGCAGAAAAUGUUUCGAGACACCAAUGCAUGAUUCUGGUUGUUCCCAUCGACUGUUGGUGUGGAAGCUUAUGCACCUUUCAAAUAUCAAUGUCUUAUGUAUCACUAGUGAAGCAAAAUAAUAAAGAAAUAUUUGGGUUAACAAACUGAAAUGAAAAAUAAUACUAGUAAUAUAUAAUACAUUUGCUACUUCAGUCUAUGUACAACCAAAAUUUGUAUCGAACUGAUCAACAAAGACAUAAUUAAGGGAGAGUUCUCUUAUAUAACAAAUUGUGUAAUAGCAUAACAAUAAGAAAUUUCAUUACACAGAAUUAAUUUCAAUGACAGCCAGUAACAAGCAUACUUAACAUAGUUACUAUCAUUACAUAUGAUGCUGCCAAUAAAGUUCUAUUUUAGGUGAAACAGGCUUGAGGUACAGGGAGCCACCCUGACAUGGUUGACGCCUUCUGGCCGUUCGCACGGCAACUCAGUAAACAGCUCUGAACACAUUAAUUACCGAGCCAAAGUACCUGGC